Molecule: ribosomal RNA, 706 nt
Filed under: Afipia broomeae
Lineage: Bacteria; Pseudomonadati; Pseudomonadota; Alphaproteobacteria; Hyphomicrobiales; Nitrobacteraceae
Description: bacterial SSU rRNA
Rfam family: Bacterial small subunit ribosomal RNA
Source: RNAcentral
GUCGAGCGGGCGUAGCAAUACGUCAGCGGCAGACGGGUGAGUAACGCGUGGGAACGUACCUUUUGGUUCGGAACAACACAGGGAAACUUGUGCUAAUACCGAAUAAGCCCUUACGGGGAAAGAUUUAUCGCCGAAAGAUCGGCCCGCGUCUGAUUAGCUAGUUGGUGAGGUAACGGCUCACCAAGGCGACGAUCAGUAGCUGGUCUGAGAGGAUGAUCAGCCACAUUGGGACUGAGACACGGCCCAAACUCCUACGGGAGGCAGCAGUGGGGAAUAUUGGACAAUGGGCGCAAGCCUGAUCCAGCCAUGCCGCGUGAGUGAUGAAGGCCCUAGGGUUGUAAAGCUCUUUUGUGCGGGAAGAUAAUGACGGUACCGCAAGAAUAAGCCCCGGCUAACUUCGUGCCAGCAGCCGCGGUAAUACGAAGGGGGCUAGCGUUGCUCGGAAUCACUGGGCGUAAAGGGUGCGUAGGCGGGUCUUUAAGUCAGGGGUGAAAUCCUGGAGCUCAACUCCAGAACUGCCUUUGAUACUGAAGAUCUUGAGUUCGGGAGAGGUGAGUGGAACUGCGAGUGUAGAGGUGAAAUUCGUAGAUAUUCGCAAGAACACCAGUGGCGAAGGCGGCUCACUGGCCCGAUACUGACGCUGAGGCACGAAAGCGUGGGGAGCAAACAGGAUUAGAUACCCUGGUAGUCCACGCCGUAAACGAUG